This 697-nucleotide ribosomal RNA is filed under the name uncultured Methanosaeta sp. RNAcentral describes it as "bacterial SSU rRNA". It matches the Rfam family "Archaeal small subunit ribosomal RNA", at positions 1 to 705 of the family's 1478-position model. Lineage: Archaea; Methanobacteriati; Methanobacteriota; Methanomicrobia; Methanotrichales; Methanotrichaceae. The record is from RNAcentral.
UCUGGUUGAUCCCGGCGGAGGUUACUGCUAUCGAGGUUCGACUAAGCCAUGCGAGUCGAAUGUAGCAAUACAUGGCGUACUGCUCAGUAACACGUGGACAACCUACCCUUAGGUCGGGGAUAAACCCGGGAAACUGGGUAUAAUACCCGAUAGUCCUCGGAUGCUGGAAUGCACCGAGGUCUAAAGCUCCGGCGCCUAAGGAUGGGUCUGCGGCCUAUCAGGUAGUAGUGGGUGUAGCGUACCUACUAGCCUACGACGGGUACGGGUUGUGAGAGCAAGAGCCCGGAGAUGGAUUCUGAGACACGAAUCYAGGCCCUACGGGGUGCAGCAGGCGCGAAAACYUUACAAUGCUGGMAACAGCGAUAAGGGRACCUCGAGUGCCAGGUUACAAAUCUGGCUGUCGUGAUGCCUAAAAAGCAUURCAUAGCAAGGGCCGGGCAAGACCGGUGCCAGCCGCCGCGGUAACACCGGCGGCUCGAGUGGUAACCGYUAUUAUUGGGUCUAAAGGGUCUGUAGCCGGCCGGAUAAGUCUYUUGGGAAAUCUGGCAGCUUAACUGUCAGGCUUUCAGRRGAUACUGUCYGGCUCGAGGCCGGGAGAGGUGAGAGGUACUUCAGGGGUAGGGGUGAAAUCUUGUAAUCCUUGAAGGACCACCAGUGGCGAAGGCGUCUCACCAGAACGGACCUGACGGCAAGGGAC